AGCUUAAGAAAAGCCUCCCGUUUACACCGGUAUUAUGCCUGUUAAAAUCAGGCCGUCUUGAG
RNAcentral lists this transfer RNA (62 nucleotides) under Staurois guttatus (black-spotted rock frog). RNAcentral's name for it is "partial tRNA-Val". The record is from RNAcentral. Lineage: Eukaryota; Metazoa; Chordata; Amphibia; Anura; Ranidae.